This is a small nuclear RNA of Oryctolagus cuniculus (rabbit), 90 nucleotides long. Its record names the gene U2. It matches the Rfam family "U2 spliceosomal RNA". Rfam says of the family: U2 is a small nuclear RNA (snRNA) component of the spliceosome (involved in pre-mRNA splicing). Complementary binding between U2 snRNA (in an area lying towards the 5' end but 3' to hairpin I) and the branchpoint sequence (BPS) of the intron results the bulging out of an unpaired adenosine, on the BPS, which initiates a nucleophilic attack at the intronic 5' splice site, thus starting the first of two transesterification reactions that mediate splicing. Lineage: Eukaryota; Metazoa; Chordata; Mammalia; Lagomorpha; Leporidae. The record is from Ensembl.
AAUGCUUCUCAGCCUUUUGGCUAAGAUCAAGUGUAGUAUCUGUUCUUAUCAGCUUAAUAUCACAUUAAAAUGUGGGUAACAGAAUCCCCC